This 203-nucleotide ribosomal RNA is filed under the name uncultured Desemzia sp. RNAcentral describes it as "partial 16S ribosomal RNA". It matches the Rfam family "Bacterial small subunit ribosomal RNA", at positions 363 to 562 of the family's 1533-position model. The record is from RNAcentral. Lineage: Bacteria; Bacillati; Bacillota; Bacilli; Lactobacillales; Carnobacteriaceae.
CUUCCGCAAUGGACGAAAGUCUGACGGAGCACUGCGCGUGAGUGAGAUGUUCUUCGGAUCUGUAAACUCUGUUGUUAGAGAGACAAGGAUGAGAGUAACUGCUCGUCUCUUGACGGUAUCUAACCAGAAAGCCAUGGCUAACUACGUGCCAGCAGCCGCGGUAAUACGUAGAUGGCAAGCGUUGUCCGGAUUUAUUGGGCGUA